UUAACUCAAAUAUGUAUGGAGUUAGAACGUUUGCCUACCUCUGCCGCUAGGGGUGCUGUUCCAACUCCAUACAAAUUUGAGUUA
Molecule: non-coding RNA, 84 nt
Organism: Bombyx mori (domestic silkworm)
Lineage: Eukaryota; Metazoa; Arthropoda; Insecta; Lepidoptera; Bombycidae
Source: Rfam